AACGUACGCUGGCGGCACGCCUAACACAUGCAAGUCGAACGAAGUAGCAAUACUUAGUGGCAGACGGGUGAGUAACAUGUGGGUAUCUGCCCUUUGGCCUGGAAUAACACGAGGAAACUUGUGCUAAUACCGGAUAAGUCUUUACGGAGAAAGCUUUAUGCACCAUUGGAUGAGCCCGCACUUGAUUAGUUUGUUGGUGGGGUAAUGGCCUACCAAGACUGUGAUCAAUAGCUGAUUUGAGAGGAUGAUCAGCCACAUUGGGACUGAGACACGGCCCAAACUCCUACGGGAGGCAGCAGUGGGGAAUCUUGCACAAUGGAGGAAACUCUGAUGCAGCGAUGCCGCGUGAGUGAAGAAGGCCCUUGGGUUGUAAAGCUCUUUCGUCGGGGAAGAAAAUGACUGUACCCGAAUAAGAAGGUCCGGCUAACUUCGUGCCAGCAGCCGCGGUAAUACGAAGGGACCUAGCGUAGUUCGGAAUUACUGGGCUUAAAGAGUUCGUAGGUGGUUGAAAAAGUUAGUGGUGAAAUCCCAGAGCUUAACUCUGGAACUGCCAUUAAAACUUUUCAGCUAGAGUAUGAUAGAGGAAAGCAGAAUUUCUAGUGUAGAGGUGAAAUUCGUAGAUAUUAGAAAGAAUACCAAUUGCGAAGGCAGCUUUCUGGAUCAUUACUGACACUGAGGAACGAAAGCAUGGGUAGCGAAGAGGAUUAGAUACCCUCGUAGUCCAUGCCGUAAACGAUGUGUGUUAGACGUUGGAAAUUUAUUUUCAGUGUCGCAGCGAAAGCGAUAAACACACCGCCUGGGGAGUACGACCGCAAGGUUAAAACUCAAAUGAAUUGACGGGGACCCGCACAAGUAGUGGAGCAUGUGGUUUAAUUCGAAGAUACGCGCAGAACCUUACCAACACUUGACAUGUUCGUCGCGACUUUAAGAGAUUAAAGUUUUCGGUUCGGCCGGACGAAACACAGGUGCUGCAUGGCUGUCGUCAGCUCGUGUCGUGAGAUGUUGGGUUAAGUCCCGCAACGAGCGCAACCCUCACUUUUAGUUGCCAUCAUUUAGUUGGGCACUCUGAAAGAACUGCCAGUGAUAAGCUGGAGGAAGGUGGGGAUGACGUCAAGUCCUCAUGGCCCUUACGUGUUGGGCUACACACGUGCUACAAUGGUAUCUACAACAGGAAGCAAGACUGCGAGGUCAAGCAAAUCCCUAAAAGAUACCUCAGUUCGGAUUGCACUCUGCAACUCGAGUGCAUGAAGCUGGAAUUACUAGUAAUCGUGGAUCAGCGUGCCACGGUGAAUGCGUUCCCGGGUCU
RNAcentral lists this ribosomal RNA (1306 nucleotides) under uncultured bacterium. RNAcentral describes it as "bacterial SSU rRNA". It matches the Rfam family "Bacterial small subunit ribosomal RNA", at positions 28 to 1381 of the family's 1533-position model. The record is from RNAcentral.